Molecule: small RNA, 749 nt
Filed under: Pongo abelii (Sumatran orangutan)
Lineage: Eukaryota; Metazoa; Chordata; Mammalia; Primates; Hominidae
Description: processed transcript
Source: RNAcentral
CGGGAACACUGGGCCCCGAGCUCGGGCCCGCGCCGGAGGAUCCUCCACGGAGCUAGAUGGUUGCGUCGGGGGCGGGAGCGGAGGUGAGCGGGCGCUAGGGCCGCGAGCCCCCGCCGGCUCUUCCUCCAGCGCCCUGCGAACGCCGCAGAGGGCGCCCGCCUCCCUAGCAAACGCGUAUCGAUUUUUCUCGCUGUGGCAACGGGGACGUCCCGGUAGAUCCUCUGCUCCAAUAGGCAACUCCGGCCUUCCCUGCCCUAACCUGGAACCUCUGGGAGGGCUGCAGAGUAAGUGCCGCCUCUGCGCUCCGACGGAGGCACGAGGCCUGUGGAGUAGGUCCCUCUGUUCCGACAGGUGCGACACUUGGCGCUCCAUGCCUGCGGGCGCGGGGAGGCCUGGCCUCCCCCAGGGCCGCCACCUCUGCUGGUUGCUUUGUGCUUUCACCUUAAAGCUCUGUAUCUUCCUCAUGUAUCAAGCGCACAGGUGGAAAAGGGCGGCACCACAUGGAAUGAGGGCAAGCGCUGUUCCGGGAAGUUGGAUGGGCAGAGCCUGGGAGAAAUGUUUUCUGAAUGGCCUGGGGCUGGCAUUUAUCUUUCCUUUAGCGAGCACCUCAAAUUUGCCAUGCUGGCUGGUGGAAGAGUUUGUGGUAGCAGAAGAGUGCUCUCCAUGCUCUAAUUUCCGGGCUAAAACUACCCCUGAGUGUGGUUCCACAGGAUAUGUAGAGAAAAUCACAUGCAGCUCAUCUAAGAGAA